GAUCAUGGCUCAGGACGAACGCUGGCGGCGUGCUUAACACAUGCAAGUCGAACGGAGCACCCUUGAUUGAGGUUUCGGCCAAAUGAUAGGAAUGCUUAGUGGCGGACUGGUGAGUAACGCGUGAGGAACCCGCCUUUCAGAGGGGGACAACAGUUGGAAACGACUGCUAAUACCGCAUGACGUGUGAUGGGGGCAUCCCUGACACACCAAAGAUUUUAUCGCUGAAAGAUGG
Molecule: ribosomal RNA, 232 nt
Filed under: uncultured bacterium
Lineage: Bacteria
Description: partial 16S ribosomal RNA
Rfam family: Bacterial small subunit ribosomal RNA
Source: RNAcentral